CCGACGGUGAGAGGCGAAAGCUGGGGGCACGAACCGGAUUAGAUACCCGGGUAGUCCCAGCCGUAAACGAUGCUCGCUAGGUGUCAGGCAUGGCGCGACCGUGUCUGGUGCCGCGGGGAAGCCGUGAAGCGAGCCACCUGGGAAGUACGGCCGCAAGGCUGAAACUUAAAGGAAUUGGCGGGGGAGCACAACAACGGGUGGAGCCUGCGGUUUAAUUGGACUCAACGCCGGACAACUCACCGGGGGCGACAGCAAUAUGUAGGCCAAGCUGAAGACUUUGCCUGAAUCGCUGAGAGGAGGUGCAUGGCCGUCGCCAGUUCGUACUG
This 326-nucleotide ribosomal RNA is filed under the name uncultured archaeon. RNAcentral's name for it is "bacterial SSU rRNA". It matches the Rfam family "Archaeal small subunit ribosomal RNA", at positions 691 to 1016 of the family's 1478-position model. The record is from RNAcentral.